This 409-nucleotide ribosomal RNA is filed under the name uncultured bacterium. Its description in RNAcentral is "bacterial SSU rRNA". It matches the Rfam family "Bacterial small subunit ribosomal RNA", at positions 400 to 826 of the family's 1533-position model. The record is from RNAcentral.
CGUGAGUGAAGAAGUAUUUCGGUAUGUAAAGCUCUAUCAGCAGGGAAGAAAAUGACGGUACCUGACUAAGAAGCCCCGGCUAACUACGUGCCAGCAGCCGCGGUAAUACGUAGGGGGCAAGCGUUAUCCGGAUUUACUGGGUGUAAAGGGAGCGCAGACGGCUGUGCAAGUCUGGAGUGAAAGGCGGGGGCCCAACCCCCGGACUGCUCUGGAAACUGUAAAGCUGGAGUGCAGGAGAGGUAAGCGGAAUUCCUAGUGUAGCGGUGAAAUGCGUAGAUAUUAGGAGGAACACCAGUGGCGAAGGCGGCUUACUGGACUGCAACUGACGUUGAGGCUCGAAAGCGUGGGGAGCAAACAGGAUUAGAUACCCUGGUAGUCCACGCCGUAAACGAUGAUUACUAGGUGUCGG